UACGUAGGGACCGAGCGUUGUCCGGAAUCAUUGGGCGUAAAGAGCGUGUAGGCGGCUUGUUAAGUCUUGCGUGAAAUCUCGGGGCUCAACCCCGAGCGGUCGUGAGAAACUGGCAGGCUAGAGUGCGGGAGAGGAGAGUGGAAUUCCUGGUGUAGCGGUGAAAUGCGCAGAUAUCAGGAAGAGCACCCGUGGCGAAGGCGGCUCUCUGGAACGCAACUGACGCUGAGACGCGAAAGCGUGGGGAGCAAACAGG
This 253-nucleotide ribosomal RNA is filed under the name uncultured bacterium. RNAcentral describes it as "partial 16S ribosomal RNA". It matches the Rfam family "Bacterial small subunit ribosomal RNA", at positions 524 to 776 of the family's 1533-position model. The record is from RNAcentral.